GGUGGCGUGGCCGAGUUGGUCUAAGGCGUCGGAUUUAAGAUCUUCUUGAUUCCCGAUGGGAGCAAUCCCGCGCGAGUUCGAACCUCGCCGCCACCA
RNAcentral lists this transfer RNA (96 nucleotides) under Trametes cinnabarina. Its description in RNAcentral is "Pycnoporus cinnabarinus tRNA". It matches the Rfam family "tRNA". From Rfam's summary of the family: Transfer RNA (tRNA) molecules are approximately 80 nucleotides in length. Their secondary structure includes four short double-helical elements and three loops (D, anti-codon, and T loops). Lineage: Eukaryota; Fungi; Basidiomycota; Agaricomycetes; Polyporales; Polyporaceae. RNAcentral also lists the same sequence under 1 other name. The record is from Rfam by way of RNAcentral.